Xyrauchen texanus (razorback sucker) is the source of this 1171-nucleotide long non-coding RNA. RefSeq lists it as uncharacterized. The record is from RefSeq and is a predicted model, not a curated record. Lineage: Eukaryota; Metazoa; Chordata; Actinopteri; Cypriniformes; Catostomidae. The transcript is spliced from 3 exons.
GUUAGCUGUUUGGCUAGUAGCUGUGUGGGACUGGGUGUCCUGUGGUGUAUUUUGUCUCAAUUGAAGAACUGUUUUCCUGAUGGAAUAAAUUCAGGACCACCAUGUAUUUGUCUGGUAGUGCACCUUAAAGGUUGAAGGAGACAAAUAAGCAGGGCCCACCUGAAGCCCAGGAGAACACCGUUAGAGCUGGCAUGCCAGCGGACGCCCAGCUAGAGCCCCUGCUAAUUAUCAGACCUCUUCAUGAGUGACAUCUGCCUCCUACUCCUCCAUUAGAACAUCACCAGUGACAUGAAAAAGCCAGAGAGAAAGAACACAAUUUAUUGGGGCUCCUCUAGGCUCUUUUAGAACAGCAUCAUGACUUUGUGGAGGUUAUAUCUGUAUCUUUUCACACACUUAAUGAUAGAUGUAUAGUUUCAGAAGUCUUUUGUGUGUUUCUGUUGUGAUAAGGCCCACCUGGUGAUCGGUGCAGUCUGGUUUAUGGUGGGAGGCUUUUUAAUCAGCCUUAUCAAUGCAGAAAGUAAUUUGUUUAGGGUCAGAAGCUAAUUAGCCACAAUUUGUCACUGAUAUAUACUGUAGCCCCUAAUGACUUGGAAAAGAGUUUGCUUAAAUAAUAAAUGCUGUUCAAACAUGCAGUGCAUAUUAUUUUAAAGGGUUCAUAUCUUAUGUUUUCAUUUAAAAAAAAUGUAUGAGGUCCACUUAUAGUAAAACAUUUAGUCUUAUUUUAAUUUAUCAUGACCUGUCAAUUACACCAAACCAGGUGAGAUGCAAUCAGAAUGGACUGAAACGAUCACAGACCUUGUUAAAAAUAAACCACAGUCUUUAUUUCCUAUGCUUCAUGGGAUUGUAGUUCAUGCCCUCAUGAAAGACUGUAAGUAAACAGUCUUUUGUCUUUUUGUCCAAUUUUCAAAUACAUUUUUGCCUCAAACAAAAGUUUGUAAUGUUGUGAUUCCCCAUAGAGCUGACUGCUUUGGAUCAUGGUUUACAACUCUUUUAUGGAGAAUUUUAUGAAAUUCCUACGGACGGCUGAAAUAGUGGGCGGGCACUGUUACGCUCUAUAGGUGUUGUUGACAUGUAAAUGUGGCUGUUCAUACAGUAUGUUACUGUUUCAUGUAUCUGACAUCAGAAAUCCAAGGAUUUCAGUAUAAGAUGUUUUUGCAGCUUGGUUUUAAUU